UACGUAGGGUGCGAGCGUUGACCGGAAUUAUUGGGCGUAAAGAGCUCGUAGGCGGUCUGUCACGUCGGAUGUGAAAGCCCGGGGCUUAACCCCGGGUCUGCAUUCGAUACGGGCAGACUAGAGUGUGGUAGGAGAGAUCGGAAUUCCUGGUGUAGCGGUGAAAUGCGCGGAUAUCUUGAGGAACACCGGUGGCGAAGGCGGGUCUCUGGGCCGAUACUGACGCUGAGGAGCGAAAGCGUGGGGAGCGAACAGG
RNAcentral lists this ribosomal RNA (253 nucleotides) under uncultured bacterium. Its description in RNAcentral is "partial 16S ribosomal RNA". It matches the Rfam family "Bacterial small subunit ribosomal RNA", at positions 524 to 776 of the family's 1533-position model. The record is from RNAcentral.